GAUGAACGCUGGCGGCGUGCCUAAUACAUGCAAGUCGAGCGAACAGACGAGGAGCUUGCUCCUCUGACGUUAGCGGCGGACGGGUGAGUAACACGUGGAUAACCUACCUAUAAGACUGGGAUAACUUCGGGAAACCGGAGCUAAUACCGGAUAAUAUAUUGAACCGCAUGGUUCAAUAGUGAAAGACGGUUUUGCUGUCACUUAUAGAUGGAUCCGCGCCGCAUUAGCUAGUUGGUAAGGUAACGGCUUACCAAGGCGACGACGCGUAGCCGACCUGAGGGGGUGAUCGGCCACACUGGAACUGAGACACGGUCCAGACUCCUACGGGAGGCAGCAGUAGGGAAUCUUCCGCAAUGGGCGAAAGCCUGACGGAGCAACGCCGCGUGAGUGAUGAAGGUCUUCGGAUCGUAAAACUCUGUUAUUAGGGAAGAACAAAUGUGUAAGUAACUAUGCACGUCUUGACGGUACCUAAUCAGAAAGCCACGGCUAACUACGUG
This 497-nucleotide ribosomal RNA is filed under the name uncultured bacterium. Its description in RNAcentral is "partial 16S ribosomal RNA". It matches the Rfam family "Bacterial small subunit ribosomal RNA", at positions 28 to 507 of the family's 1533-position model. The record is from RNAcentral.